Lolium rigidum is the source of this 606-nucleotide long non-coding RNA. RefSeq lists it as uncharacterized. The transcript is spliced from 3 exons. The record is from RefSeq and is a predicted model, not a curated record. NCBI's taxonomy places the organism in Eukaryota, Viridiplantae, Streptophyta, Magnoliopsida, Poales, Poaceae.
AAGUUAGUGAAUCUAGAAGUGCUUUGACUCUGGAAGUGCUUUAGCGGUUCAUGCUCUCUCCGUGGUUAAACAUGUUCUACUAACAAAGAAAAAUUGAUGAUAAGCCAAAGGAAUCAUUCCCGGGGCAUGAUACUCAAAUGUGAAGCAUUAGAUGACACCUUUCUAAAGGUUAGAACCAUUUCAAUGCAAUGACUACGUAGUCAAGUGUGGUAUAAAUAUGAAUCAGUCCAUGCAAGAUCAAAUUGGCUAUUAGUUACAGGUAGAGAGAAGCAGAGCCCCUGCUGCCGACGUUGCCUCCUGCACAGCCUGAUCUUGGGGACGAGCUGUUGGUGCUAUCGGGAUAUUGGUGCCGAGUUGCCGACGAGGCCUCUGGCGUUGCCAGGAGGUUGGGCUCGAGCUGCCACAGCUGCCGGUGUUGACUCCUGCAUAGGCGGGAGGUUGUGGGCUAGCUGCCGGAGUGGCCUGGCCCUUGGCGAUCAGGUGGAUUGGUCGGCUGGAUUCUGGUCGAAUUGAUCCCGUUGUAGCUUGGCUGCUGGCGAUCGAUUCCAGAGCGACCUGGCUCCUAGCGAUCGAUUCUGGAGCGGCCUGGCUCCUAUCGAUCUGGAG